RNAcentral lists this ribosomal RNA (253 nucleotides) under uncultured bacterium. RNAcentral's name for it is "partial 16S ribosomal RNA". It matches the Rfam family "Bacterial small subunit ribosomal RNA", at positions 524 to 776 of the family's 1533-position model. The record is from RNAcentral.
UACAGAGGGUGCGAGCGUUGUCCGGAAUUACUGGGCGUAAAGCGCGUGUAGGCGGCUAAGUAAGUCGGGCGUGAAAUCCCACGGCUCAACCGUGGAAGUGCACUCGAAACUGCAUAGCUAGAGUCCUGGAGAGGAAGGUGGAAUGCUUGGUGUAGAGGUGAAAUUCGUAGAUAUCAAGCGGAACACCUGUGGUGUAGACGGCUUUCUGGACCAUAGCUGACGCUGAGACACGAAAGCGUGGGUAGCAAACAGG